RNAcentral lists this long non-coding RNA (1194 nucleotides) under Anolis carolinensis (green anole). RNAcentral describes it as "lncRNA (ENSACAG00000035245.1)". The record is from RNAcentral. Lineage: Eukaryota; Metazoa; Chordata; Lepidosauria; Squamata; Anolidae.
AUGAUCCCUCUGUCAACAAUCUUACAAAAAACAAACCUCGGCUAUCAAACAUCUAAAAAAUCUCACAAAAUUUCGCAUCGGAUGUACAUGGAUGACCUGAAGCUAUAUGGGAAAAUGGAAACAGAAAUCCAGUCUCUGACUAACACUGUCCAAAUUUUUAGCACUGAUAUCAGCAUGGAGUUUGGUUUGGACAAAUGUUCAACAGUGGCAUUGAAGAAGGGAAAAAUCAUUGAAAGUGAGGGCAUAAAUAUGCCUAAUGGCCAAACAAUAAAGUGUCACCAGCCAGAGGCCUAUAAUUAUCUGGGCAUAUUACAGUUGGACAACAUGAAGCAUGAACAUGUGAAAACUGUGGUCAGCAAAGAAUACACACAAAGGGUCAGAAAAAUUCUCAAAAGCAAGCUCAAUGGAGACAACACCAUCAAGGCCAUAAACGCCUGGGCCAUACCUGUCAUAAGAUAUAAUGCCAGCAGUAUAUCUUAUGACAGGUAUGGCCCAGGUGUUUAUGGCCUUGAUGGUGUUGCCUCCAUUGAGCUUGCUUUUGAGAAUUUUUCUGACCCUUUGUGUGUAUUCUGUGUGAAUUUUCUCAGCUAUGAUGCCAGUCAGUAGUUUAAAUAUAGUGGGCAGACACGUUAUUGGCCUGUAGUUUCCUGGUGCUGCUCCUUUUGCUAGAUCCUUUUGUAUCAGGUAUGUUCUUCCAGUUGUUAGCCAUUCACUGAUACUUCCUUUCAUCUCAUUGAAUUGUUGGGUCAUUUUUCCAUGUAAACUAAUCAGAUAUUUGAGCUAAAAUCCAUGAAGUUGAUCACUACCAGGCAAUGUCCAGUUCUUGACUUUUUGCACUCGUUUGCUGAUCCAUUAGCAUUAAGUGUGAUGUCCCCUGAACCCUUGGGCUGUGAUCCUGCCUCCAUUAUGGACCAAAGUGACGAGGAAAUGGGGUUUGUGCCAAUUCAGCAAGAUUCUGCCCCGUUCCAGAUGCUCCCUAUUGACAAUUCUAGCACACAGCUCAUUAAAAAGGCCCUUUAAACGGAGCCUUCUCCCACCAGUUCCCCUCCCUUUGAUAGACGGAUGUUUUGAGAAACUAGUAGGUUUGAGAAAGCUGGCAGGAGAAGGAGCAUGCGAUUACCAGCUAGAGAAUCUGCUGAUUAACCUGUUUUCCCCUGAGAAUUCUCAGGGAGGAUCGCAUCUGGUUGAAGAUGU